RNAcentral lists this ribosomal RNA (528 nucleotides) under uncultured bacterium. RNAcentral describes it as "partial 16S ribosomal RNA". It matches the Rfam family "Bacterial small subunit ribosomal RNA", at positions 355 to 874 of the family's 1533-position model. The record is from RNAcentral.
UGGGGAAUUUUGGACAAUGGGCGAAAGCCUGAUCCAGCAAUGCCGCGUGUGUGAAGAAGGCCUUCGGGUUGUAAAGCACUUUUGUCCGGAAAGAAAUCCUUGGCUCUAAUACAGUCGGGGGAUGACGGUACCGGAAGAAUAAGCACCGGCUAACUACGUGCCAGCAGCCGCGGUAAUACGUAGGGUGCAAGCGUUAAUCGGAAUUACUGGGCGUAAAGCGUGCGCAGGCGGUUUGCUAAGACCGAUGUGAAAUCCCCGGGCUCAACCUGGGAACUGCAUUGGUGACUGGCAGGCUAGAGUAUGGCAGAGGGGGGUAGAAUUCCACGUGUAGCAGUGAAAUGCGUAGAGAUGUGGAGGAAUACCGAUGGCGAAGGCAGCCCCCUGGGCCAAUACUGACGCUCAUGCACGAAAGCGUGGGGAGCAAAACAGGAUUAGAUACCCUGGUAGUCCACGCCCUAAACGAUGUCAACUAGUUGUUGGGGGAUUCAUUUCCUUAGUAACGUAGCUAACGCGUGAAGUUGACCGCCU